UUGCAACAUACCAAAUGUUGCCCGAUUACAGAGAUUUUGAGACAGAGUCUACAGAGACUUUAUCAUGUAUGCUCGUUGUCAAUGCACGGCAGUGUUUGUUUACUCUAUGUAACUUUUACCUUUUGUGCAGAUUUCAGGCCUGAGCCAGCCAUCGUAACCACAAGAUGUGCAAGUUUUCAUACUGACCUAUCAUCAUCAAUGAUCUCAGCAUCAUCAAUUAGAUAAACAGCUCCUAGCUUAAUUGGGAAAACUCUGUCCUGCCUGGCGUCAACUUUGCAGAGGAUGGAGCACUUGUGGGGAUGCCUGGCUGUGGAUUUCCUGGGCUCAAAGAUGAACUCGCAAGGGACUCCCGAAUACCGUGCCUACACACUUGCACAGCUGCUGGAACGUGAAGUUGUAAACUUGCCAAGGCGUAAAGAUGAUGACUGAUCGUAGCCUAAUAAAAUAAUUCGUAACUGCUUUUUUAAGGUAGGAAUAAUUAGUGCUCAGUCAUUAGCAAAUCGUGAAAAAUCAUUAUUUGAUGCGAUUUAAAUCUGUUAAUGCAGAUUUACUUUCCCCCUAAACACAUU
Molecule: long non-coding RNA, 569 nt
Organism: Daphnia pulex (common water flea)
Lineage: Eukaryota; Metazoa; Arthropoda; Branchiopoda; Diplostraca; Daphniidae
Exons: 3
Source: RefSeq, a predicted model, not a curated record